Molecule: ribosomal RNA, 508 nt
Filed under: uncultured bacterium
Lineage: Bacteria
Description: partial 16S ribosomal RNA
Rfam family: Bacterial small subunit ribosomal RNA
Source: RNAcentral
GACGAACGCUGGCGGCGUGCCUAAUACAUGCAAGUCGAACGCUUCUUUCCUCCCGAGUGCUUGCACUCAAUUGGAAAGAGGAGUGGCGGACGGGUGAGUAACACGUGGGUAACCUACCCAUCAGAGGGGGAUAACACUUGGAAACAGGUGCUAAUACCGCAUAACAGUUUAUGCCGCAUGGCAUAAGAGUGAAAGGCGCUUUCGGGUGUCGCUGAUGGAUGGACCCGCGGUGCAUUAGCUAGUUGGUGAGGUAACGGCUCACCAAGGCCACGAUGCAUAGCCGACCUGAGAGGGUGAUCGGCCACACUGGGACUGAGACACGGCCCAGACUCCUACGGGGGGCAGCAGUAGGGAAUCUUCGGCAAUGGACGAAAGUCUGACCGAGCAACGCCGCGUGAGUGAAGAAGGUUUUCGGAUCGUAAAACUCCGUUGUUAGAGAAGAACAAGGACGUUAGUAACUGAACGUCCCCUGACGGUAUCUAACCAGAAAGCCACGGCUAACUACGUG